This 215-nucleotide ribosomal RNA is filed under the name uncultured Spirochaetaceae bacterium. RNAcentral describes it as "partial 16S ribosomal RNA". It matches the Rfam family "Bacterial small subunit ribosomal RNA", at positions 1168 to 1382 of the family's 1533-position model. The record is from RNAcentral. Lineage: Bacteria; Pseudomonadati; Spirochaetota; Spirochaetia; Spirochaetales; Spirochaetaceae.
AGGAAGUGGGGAUGACGUCAAGUCCUCAUGGCCCUUAUGUCCAGGGCUACACACGUGCUACAAUGGUCGGUACAAAGUGACGCGAAGCCGCGAGGUGAAGCAAAUCGCAGAAAGCCGGCCUUAGUUCGGAUUGGAGUCUGAAACUCGACUCCAUGAAGGUGGAAUCGCUAGUAAUCGCGCAUCAGCAUGGCGCGGUGAAUACGUUCCCGGGCCUU